CUGGCGGCGUGCUUAACACAUGCAAGUCGAACGAGACGAUUGAAAGCUUGCUUUUGGAAGUCGAGUGGCAAACGGGUGAGUAACGCGUAGACAACCUGCCGUAAAGAUGGGGACAACAGUUCGAAAGGACUGCUAAUACCGAAUGUUGUAUCUCCUCCGCAUGGAAGAGAUAUUAAAGAUGGCCUCUACUUGUAAGCUAUCGCUUUGCGAUGGGUCUGCGUCUGAUUAGCUAGUUGGUGGGGCAACGGCCUACCAAGGCGACGAUCAGUAGCCGGUCUGAGAGGAUGAACGGCCACAUUGGAACUGAGACACGGUCCAGACUCCUACGGGAGGCAGCAGUGGGGAAUCUUCCGCAAUGGGCGAAAGCCUGACGGAGCAACGCCGCGUGAGUGAAGAAGGUCUUCGGAUCGUAAAGCUCUGUUGUCGGGGACGAAUGUUGAGGCCUAGAACAUAGGUUUCAAAUGACGGUACCUGACGAGGAAGCCACGGCUAACUACGUG
This 500-nucleotide ribosomal RNA is filed under the name uncultured bacterium. RNAcentral describes it as "bacterial SSU rRNA". It matches the Rfam family "Bacterial small subunit ribosomal RNA", at positions 36 to 507 of the family's 1533-position model. The record is from RNAcentral.